UGAGGAAUUUUGCGCAAUGGGGGAAACCCUGACGCAGCAACGCCGCGUGAGUGAUGAAGGCCUUUUGGUUGUAAAGCUCUGUCGCCUGGAAAGAACCCACAUAGCAGGAAAUGGCUGUGUGCUGACGGUACCAGGAAAGGAAGGACCGGCUAACUCCGUGCCAGCAGCCGCGGUAAUACGGGGGGUCCAAGCGUUAUUCGGAAUCAUUGGGCGUAAAGCGCAUGUAGGCGGUUGGGUAUGUCAGAUGUGAAAGCCCGGGGCUUAACCCCGGAAGUGCAUUUGAAACUGCCUGGCUUGAGUCUCGGAGAGGAAAGUGGAAUUCCCAGUGUAGAGGUGGAAUUCGUAGAUAUUGGGAGGAACACCGGUGGCGAAAGCGACUUUCUGGACGAUGACUGACGCUCAGAUGCGAAAGCGUGGGUAGCAAACAGG
Molecule: ribosomal RNA, 429 nt
Filed under: uncultured bacterium
Lineage: Bacteria
Description: bacterial SSU rRNA
Rfam family: Bacterial small subunit ribosomal RNA
Source: RNAcentral